AUUGCCACUUGAGGGUACUAUUUUAGCAGAAAUCAAACAAAUUUACACUUAACUAAUCAUGUAAGGCACGUAGAGACCCAAGUUAACUAGUACUAAGUGUUCAAUUUAAGUGCUGUGAAUCUUUUCUUCAUUCAAGUUAAUUUUGUGUCCCGUAUCAGCCUUUUUUGUUUUUGUUCUCCUCCUAUUCUAUGCCACUUCGUUUCUGCAAUUCAGUACUCCAGAUUUCAAGAUCUGAAUUUGUUUCCUUCUUACGCACACCAACUCACUUCCACUCCUUGCCUGUGUUCUCUGACUUGAUGAACUACGGCACCUUAACCCAGUCAGAACUCUGAACAACCACCCACUCAGCCCCUGACUGAUGGGUCCAAGUCCCAUCAAACUCUCCCUCCCUCUGGAAUCCCUUCACUUCUCUCCAUCCUCGCUAGGUAGCUCAGACCACUGUCGCAUCUCCCUGGAUAACCGCGACAGUCUCCAGCUCUCCCUGCCUGUUGGAGUGCUCACUCCCCAACCAAUCUCUUCUCAUGCUGCAGGCCACAGUAGCCUUUCUGAUCUAAACUGAUCUAAACAUGUCACUCUUAUCUAAUUCAUUUUACUGACAGCUCGUUGCUGUCACAAUAAAGUCCUUACCGGACCUUUUUGGGUUCUUCACAUGCUCCAUACUUGGUCCUGCUACUCGGGUUGUGCAAAAGGAGGUUCUGUUCCAUCACACUACCUUUCCACUUGGCCCACCCUUCCCAGUCUAAGCCGUGCCUGCUUCUUCGGAGGCCCCCUCUCACCUGGUGACGAGCUCUCCCUAGGGCAGGAACAAGAUGCGGGCACUCCUGCAGGCUAUGAAUUGGCAUCCAUUCAGAUGGUGAUUUAAAAAUAGUCCAAAAGGGAAAAACUGAUUUCAUCUUAAUAAAAACUAUUCUUUACACACUAAUUCAAGGCUACUGUGUGAAGAAAACUCCGCAAAGUAUUUCCCAGCUUUCUGUAAUUCUAGUUUUCCUAAUGUUCCUUUACAAUCCUCCAAGCCAGAAUCCUUCUUGGAAGACAUAUUAGCUUUACAUGUUACAGAAUCAAACAGAUCCCUCUCCUCUAAAUAACACUAUACCAUGUAUUCUUCGAUGCUGGUAUUCAACCAGCUUUGACCACUGACUUUGAGGGAACAGAGAGGCACACACAUGCACCUGCCACAGAAACACUCAGCAACACAGACCAGCGUCAGGGAGACUUGUUUUCAUUUCCACCCGAGGGUACUGUCUGUUUCAGCAGGAGCCAAACAAAUUUACAUCGAGCUGAUCAGGACCCAAAUCAUCCCUUAUUUCAGAGGUGCUUCUCUGUGCAAACAAAGGAUCUAAAGAGAGUGCAUCACCCCGCCAGCUCUGAAUCAUUAAACAAAGCACAAAACAUUACUCUCGCUAUUUUUUUCAAUGGUUAGAAUAGUGUGAAUGAAACUAAUUAAGAGAAAGGAAGUGGCCUCCAACAAAGAACGAGUCGGACUCUAAAGGGUGAGAGAUGCAUUAGCGGAAAUCCACACGGUGACGAGCCCUCCUUCUGGAAGCUUCCAGAAGGAAGCGCAGGCAGCAGACGUCAGGAGAGCCCACGUCUCAUCUCUGCUCUGACUUCUUAUUCCACCUCUCCAGGAUCCUGCCAACGUGAGGAACGGGUGGAUUUAAACAAAAGAAAUCUCUGAGAGAGCCCGCUCUUCUUGCUGGCCAAACAUUUCAGUUAUUUCCCCAUCAGAACGGCCACAGAACUUGCCUGAGUCUCAUCCUUUCGCUUCUCUUUCAGACAUCCAGGUGUGACUUUUAGAGAAUUGUGAAGCUGCAGUUCUUAAAUUAUUUUCAGAUCCCUUCAAAUCAAGAGGCGUAGACUUUGCACACAGCCCGGAACCAGCACUCGGAGCUUGUGUGGAACAAGCGCCAAGCUCCCGCACCCUCUACCAGGGGCUUCUGCUCCCCAAUGCCACGUGGCGGUGUCACCUCUCCUUCCAAAUGAAGUUCAGGGGCCUCCCAGCCGCUCUGGGAAGACUCCUCUGAGCUCCACCACUAGCCUGCCCUACCCUGACAGUGAGGUGCUCCCCUGAAGGCCCCCGUAACAUCUCGGGCAAACCCUUAGUUUAGCACCAUCUACAUUUCCUACCUGGUUGAUGACAUGUGUAUUUCUUACCCUGUGACCUUCUCCAGAGCGGGCAAUAUUUCUUGCUAUCUCUGUAUCUUCAGCACCUAGAAUAACAUCCUACACAUAGUACAUGUUCAGUAAAAUGUCUGUUGAAAAAAUAAACUGGAUGGAUCUAA
This is a long non-coding RNA of Lagenorhynchus albirostris (white-beaked dolphin), 2279 nucleotides long. RefSeq lists it as uncharacterized. NCBI's taxonomy places the organism in Eukaryota, Metazoa, Chordata, Mammalia, Artiodactyla, Delphinidae. The record is from RefSeq and is a predicted model, not a curated record. The transcript has 2 exons.